CAUUAUCGAAUAAACUUGAACAGGCUGUUUGCUGGCUCUCAAGAGAGUAUGUGCACGCUUGUCAUCUUUAUCUCUCCAACUGUGCACAUAUUGUAGACCUUUGGAUUAGUUUCCGAGUUGGGACUGCUGUGAAGUCAGCUUUUCCCUUGCAGGUCUAUGUCCUUUUUUCACAAACAUCUGAAUCGUUUAGAAUGUUAUUAUUAUAAAGUUAAAUAUACAACUUUCAGCAACGGAUCUCUUGGCUCUCGCAUCGAUGAAGAACGCAGCGAAAUGCGAUAAGUAAUGUGAAUUGCAGAAUUCAGUGAAUCAUCGAAUCUUUGAACGCAUCUUGCGCUCCUUGGUAUUCCGAGGAGCAUGCCUGUUUGAGUGUCAUUCAAAUUCUCAAAACCAUGUCGAUUGUCUUUGAUGUGGCUUUGGAUUGUGGGGGUUUUCUUUGCAGGCCUUUUUGGGUCAGCUCCCCUGAAAUGCAUUAGUAGUAUCUGAGCAGAGAAACUACCACAAGGUGUGAUAAAUUUAUNUAUGCCUUUGGUGAGCUGCAUGAACAGAUUGCNCNGCUUAUAAUGNAGUGGAGUUCGAUGCAUUUGACCUCAAAUCAGGUAGGACUACCC
RNAcentral lists this ribosomal RNA (608 nucleotides) under uncultured Basidiomycota. RNAcentral's name for it is "eukaryotic LSU rRNA". The stretch from base 219 to 372 matches the Rfam family "5.8S ribosomal RNA". Lineage: Eukaryota; Fungi; Basidiomycota. The record is from RNAcentral.